AGUGAACGCUGGCGGUAGGCCUAACACAUGCAAGUCGAACGGCAGCACAGCAAGAGCUUGCUCUUACGGGUGGCGAGUGGCGGACGGGUGGGGAAUACAUCGGAAUCUACUUUUUCGUGGGGGAUAACGUAGGGAAACUUACGCUAAUACCGCAUACGACCUACGGGUGAAAGCAGGGGAUCUUCGGACCUUGCGCGAUUGAAUGAGCCGAUGUCGGAUUAGCUAGUUGGCGGGGUAAAGGCCCACCAAGGCGACGAUCCGUAGCUGGUCUGAGAGGAUGAUCAGCCACACUGGAACUGAGACACGGUCCAGACUCCUACGGGAGGCAGCAGUGGGGAAUAUUGGACAAUGGGCGCAAACCUGAUCCAGCCAUACCGCGUGGGUGAAGAAGGCCUUCGGGUUGUAAAGCCCUUUUGUUGGGAAAGAAAAGCAGCAGGUUAAUACCCCGCUGUUCUGACGGUACCCAAAGAAUAAGCACCGGCUAACUUCGUG
Molecule: ribosomal RNA, 492 nt
Filed under: uncultured bacterium
Lineage: Bacteria
Description: partial 16S ribosomal RNA
Rfam family: Bacterial small subunit ribosomal RNA
Source: RNAcentral